AUUGAACGCUGGCGGCAUGCCUUACACAUGCAAGUCGAACGGCAGCAUGAUCUAGCUUGCUAGAUUGAUGGCGAGUGGCGAACGGGUGAGUAAUACAUCGGAACGUGCCCUGUAGCGGGGGAUAACUAGUCGAAAGAUUAUCUAAUACCGCAUACGACCUGAGGGUGAAAGUGGGGGACCGCAAGGCCUCAUGCUAUAGGAGCGGCCGAUGUCUGAUUAGCUAGUUGGUGAGGUAAAGGCUCACCAAGGCGACGAUCAGUAGCUGGUCUGAGAGGACGAUCAGCCACACUGGGACUGAGACACGGCCCAGACUCCUACGGGAGGCAGCAGUGGGGAAUUUUGGACAAUGGGCGAAAGCCUGAUCCAGCAAUGCCGCGUGUGUGAAGAAGGCCUUCGGGUUGUAAAGCAAUUUUGUCCGGAAAGAAAUGGCUCUGGUUAAUACCUGGGGUCGAUGACGGUACCGGAAGAAUAAGGACCGGCUAACUACGUG
This 490-nucleotide ribosomal RNA is filed under the name uncultured bacterium. Its description in RNAcentral is "partial 16S ribosomal RNA". It matches the Rfam family "Bacterial small subunit ribosomal RNA", at positions 30 to 507 of the family's 1533-position model. The record is from RNAcentral.